CAAGUCGAACGGAAAUAGAGGAGCUUGCUCCUCUUGAUUAGUGGCGAACGGGUGAGUAACACGUGGGCAACCUGCCCCUGACUCUGGGAUAACUACUCGAAAAGAGUAGCUAAUACCGGAUAUGAAACCUGAAGACAUCUUCGGGUUUGGAAAGUUUUUCGGUCAGGGAUGGGCCCGCGGCCUAUCAGCUAGUUGGUGAGGUAGUGGCUCACCAAGGCGACGACGGGUAGCCGGCCUGAGAGGGCGACCGGCCACACUGGGACUGAGACACGGCCCAGACUCC
This 283-nucleotide ribosomal RNA is filed under the name unidentified marine bacterioplankton. RNAcentral describes it as "partial 16S ribosomal RNA". It matches the Rfam family "Bacterial small subunit ribosomal RNA", at positions 58 to 339 of the family's 1533-position model. RNAcentral also lists the same sequence under 1 other name. The record is from RNAcentral.